CUAGUGUUGUAGUACUUGGAAGGAACUAUGUCAUUAUAUUGAUGUGGAACCGCCUUGACUCGCAUUAGUAAGUUGUUUAAUUAUGGUAUUAUGAUGACCCAAUUGACUAUGGAUUAGAAUGAUGCGCGCCUAAUGUUUAUAUCAUUUCUAACUAAAGUAUGGUCAUAUGGGUCAAGUGGGAGAAUGUUGGGUUUUGACCCACAUGACCACAUCGUGGUCAGUUACGAUCCCGUGAGAAGUGGAAGCAUUAUCCUUG
Molecule: long non-coding RNA, 256 nt
Filed under: Phoenix dactylifera (date palm)
Lineage: Eukaryota; Viridiplantae; Streptophyta; Magnoliopsida; Arecales; Arecaceae
Description: long non-coding RNA (PDAC_LNC013730)
Source: RNAcentral